GCCACAGGCGCCAAGGGCAGGAGGACCAAAGCCCUGGCGAAGGCCGUGGCCUCGUUCAAGUAAUCCAGGAUAGGCUGUGCAGGUCCCAAUGGGCCUAUUCUUGGUUACUUGCACGGGGACGCGGGCCUGGACGCCGGCAUCCGGGCUCAGGACUCCCCCUCUCUGCCAGAGGC
This 173-nucleotide microRNA precursor is filed under the name Callithrix jacchus (white-tufted-ear marmoset). Its description in RNAcentral is "microRNA cja-mir-26a precursor (cja-mir-26a-1)". Its record names the gene cja-mir-26a-1. The stretch from base 44 to 124 matches the Rfam family "mir-26 microRNA precursor family". The record is from miRBase by way of RNAcentral. Lineage: Eukaryota; Metazoa; Chordata; Mammalia; Primates; Cebidae.